This 492-nucleotide ribosomal RNA is filed under the name uncultured bacterium. Its description in RNAcentral is "partial 16S ribosomal RNA". It matches the Rfam family "Bacterial small subunit ribosomal RNA", at positions 29 to 507 of the family's 1533-position model. The record is from RNAcentral.
AGUGAACGCUGGCGGUAGGCCUAACACAUGCAAGUCGAACGGCAGCACAGUAAGAGCUUGCUCUUACGGGUGGCGAGUGGCGGACGGGUGAGGAAUACACCGGAAUCUACUUUUUCGUGGGGGAUAACGUAGGGAAACUUACGCUAAUACCGCAUACGACCUACGGGUGAAAGCAGGGGAUCUUCGGACCUUGCGCGAUUGAAUGAGCCGAUGUCGGAUUAGCUAGUUGGCGGGGUAAAGGCCCACCAAGGCGACGAUCCGUAGCUGGUCUGAGAGGAUGAUCAGCCACACUGGAACUGAGACACGGUCCAGACUCCUACGGGAGGCAGCAGUGGGGAAUAUUGGACAAUGGGCGCAAGCCUGAUCCAGCCAUACCGCAUGGGUGAAGAAGGCCUUCGGGUUGUAAAGCCCUUUUGUUGGGAAAGAAAAGCAGCAGGUUAAUACCCCGCUGUUCUGACGGUACCCAAAGAAUAAGCACCGGCUAACUUCGUG